Molecule: transfer RNA, 77 nt
Filed under: Flavobacterium sp.
Lineage: Bacteria; Pseudomonadati; Bacteroidota; Flavobacteriia; Flavobacteriales; Flavobacteriaceae
Also listed under: 1 other name
Description: tRNA-Arg
Rfam family: tRNA
About the family: Transfer RNA (tRNA) molecules are approximately 80 nucleotides in length. Their secondary structure includes four short double-helical elements and three loops (D, anti-codon, and T loops).
Source: RNAcentral
GCACCCGUAGCUCAGCUGGAUAGAGCAUUUGACUACGAAUCAAAAGGCCGGGCGUUCGAAUCGCUCCGGGUGCGCCA